UAGGGAAUCUUCCGCAAUGGACGCAAGUCUGACGGAGCAACGCCGCGUGAGUGAAGAAGGAUUUCGGUUCGUAAAACUCUGUUGUUAGAGAAGAACAGCGCAUAGAGUAACUGUUAUGCGUGUGACGGUAUCUAACCAGAAAGCCACGGCUAACUACGUGCCAGCAGCCGCGGUAAUACGUAGGUGGCAAGCGUUGUCCGGAUUUAUUGGGCGUAAAGCGAGCGCAGGCGGUCAAUUAAGUCUGAUGUGAAAGCCCCCGGCUCAACCGGGGAGGGUCAUUGGAAACUGGUUGACUUGAGUGCAGAAGAGGAGAGUGAAAUUCCAUGUGUAGCGGUGAAAUGCGUAGAUAUAUGGAGGAACACCAGUGGCGAAGGCGACUCUCUGGUCUGUAACUGACGCUGAGGCUCGAAAGCGUGGGUAGCAAACAGG
Molecule: ribosomal RNA, 429 nt
Filed under: Bacteroidota bacterium
Lineage: Bacteria; Pseudomonadati; Bacteroidota
Description: Bacteroidetes bacterium partial 16S ribosomal RNA
Rfam family: Bacterial small subunit ribosomal RNA
Source: RNAcentral